UUGCGACCACAUUACGUUGAAACACCGGAUCCCGUACAAUCACCAAAGUUAAGCAACGUCGAUUCUGGUCAGUACCUAGAUGUGUGACCGCUUGGGAAUACCAGGUGCUGUAAG
This is a non-coding RNA of Acanthosepion pharaonis, 114 nucleotides long. The record is from the annotation of a GenBank genome assembly. NCBI's taxonomy places the organism in Eukaryota, Metazoa, Mollusca, Cephalopoda, Sepiida, Sepiidae.